GAUGAACGCUGGCGGCGUGCCUAACACAUGCAAGUCGAGCGAUUCUCUUCGGAGAAGAGCGGCGGACGGGUGAGUAACGCGGGGGUAACCUGCCCUGUACACACGGAUAACAUACCGAAAGGUAUGCUAAUACGAGAUAAUAUGCUUUUAUCGCAUGGUAGAAGUAUCAAAGCUUUUGCGGUACAGGAUGGACCCGCGUCUGAUUAGCUAGUUGGUAAGGUAACGGCUUACCAAGGCGACGAUCAGUAGCCGACCUGAGAGGGUGAUCGGCCACAUUGGAACUGAGACACGGUCCAAACUCCUACGCGAGGGAGCAGUGGGGAAUAUUGCACAAGGGGCGAAAGCCUGAUGCAGCAACGCCGCGUGAGCGAUGAAGGCCUUCGGGUCGUAAAGUUCUGUCCUCAAGGAAGAUAAUGACGGUACUUGAGGAGGAAGCCCCGGCUAACUACGUG
Molecule: ribosomal RNA, 452 nt
Filed under: uncultured bacterium
Lineage: Bacteria
Description: partial 16S ribosomal RNA
Rfam family: Bacterial small subunit ribosomal RNA
Source: RNAcentral